This 159-nucleotide ribosomal RNA is filed under the name Letharia vulpina. Its description in RNAcentral is "5.8S ribosomal RNA". It matches the Rfam family "5.8S ribosomal RNA". Rfam says of the family: 5.8S ribosomal RNA (5.8S rRNA) is a component of the large subunit of the eukaryotic ribosome. It is transcribed by RNA polymerase I as part of the 45S precursor that also contains 18S and 28S rRNA. Functionally, it is thought that 5.8S rRNA may be involved in ribosome translocation. RNAcentral also lists the same sequence under 8 other names. The record is from RNAcentral. Lineage: Eukaryota; Fungi; Ascomycota; Lecanoromycetes; Lecanorales; Parmeliaceae.
AAAACUUUCAACAACGGAUCUCUUGGUUCCAGCAUCGAUGAAGAACGCAGCGAAAUGCGAUAAGUAAUGUGAAUUGCAGAAUUCAGUGAAUCAUCGAAUCUUUGAACGCACAUUGCGCCCCUCGGUAUUCCGGGGGGCAUGCCUGUUCGAGCGUCAUUG